RNAcentral lists this ribosomal RNA (235 nucleotides) under uncultured bacterium. RNAcentral describes it as "partial 16S ribosomal RNA". It matches the Rfam family "Bacterial small subunit ribosomal RNA", at positions 28 to 250 of the family's 1533-position model. The record is from RNAcentral.
GACGAACGCUGACGGUGUGCUUUAGACAUGCAAGUCGAACGCGAAAGCCCUUCGGGUUAGUAGAGUGGCGAACGGGUGAGUAACACGUGGGCGAAUACUGCCCCUCCGCAGGGGGACGAACCGGAGGAAACGUACCGGCUAAUACCCGUACCGCUUGUAGGAUCGCAUGAUCUUACAAGGAAAGGUAAGCUUCGGCCAUCCGGCGAGGGAUGAGCCCGCGGUGCAUUAGCUAGUU